UCCUUUUCUUUUCCCCCUUUUCUUCUUCUCCCCAUUCUUCCUUUUUCUUCUCCUCCUCUUUCUCUUCUCCAGCGGCGACGAACGACAGAGCUCUCCUGUUCUUCUUCUCCAAUCUUGCAACCCCCUUCUCUUCUUCUUUUCUCUUUUGCAACGGCAACAAGCUUCCCCUUCCUUGCUGUCCUGCUUCUCGGCAGCAUCGUCGGAGCUCCUCGAAGUGUGCUAGAGCUCGCCGGACCACCAGAAAAGAGGGGAAAACAAAGCCCUAGUUGCUGCCCUCUUUUCUAGCCAAGCACAGUAGCCACCGGAGCUAGCUGUGGCCUUCGCCGGAGCUCGCCAAGACAACCGGUGAAAAAGGGAAAAGCACCGCCGGAGUUCGCCUGAGCUCGUCGAAACUAGCUGAGACAAUCAGUGACAAAGGGAAAACAACCCUAGUUGUUGCCCUCUUUUUCCAGCAACUACAGUAAUCCAUAGAAGACACGAGCUCGAGUGGAGCACGGUGACCUGCCGACACUCAAAGAUUUUAUUGUACAUAAAUUUUGCAGACAUAGGGAUCCUUUUGAUAUUGUAGUUGAUUUUGGACUUCUAUAGAGUUACUCAGAGAUCUCGACGUGCUGAUUUUCUGGCAAUGCCAUGAGCCCGUGGUCGCGGUUGGGGCAGUAGCCGUGCUCGUAGUCGCAGCUGUGGUUGCGAUAGUGGUAGUGGCUGAGGUCGCGGUAGUGCAUGUCGGCGUGCCACUACUACUCAGAGGAUCGAUCAUAAUUUGGAUGAGGCCCCUAUCUCCCCAUAUGAGUUGAUACCGGGAGCUCAGGUUGAUCCUAGUAUUAGAGUCGGUGGUUAGACUGAGGGACACAUCUUGUUGCAGGAUCAUGUAGUCGUACCAGUCAUUCCUACAGCAUCCAUUAUCAUGGAAAAGGCUCGUAUUCCUUUGCUUGCUAGUUCAGCAAAGGAUCGUUUUGCGCUAUUCCAUGGAGGCACUGAUCCUUGGGUGGCACGUGUAUGGUUGAAGGAUAUUGAGGGCACUUUUGGGUGCAUGUCUUGUUCAGACACAGAGAAGAUAGAGCUUGCCGCUUAUCAAUUUCGAGGGCAAGCAUCCACAUGGUGGAAGAUGCAAAAGAUAGUCUUUGGGGUCAAUUUAUCUCUUAGCAGUCUUUUCAAGAGGCGUUCGAGAGAUAGUAUUUUCUUGCAGUCUUUUGUAUUGCUCGACGCCAAGAAUUCAUGAGUCUCAAGCAAGGUGAUCGAAGUAUGCUAGAUUAUAGUGCAGAAUUUAACAGACUUGCUGAGUUUUGCCCAUAUAUGGUAGCUCAGGACUCAGAUCGUAUGUUUCACUUUACAUAGGGACUGACAACAUAUAUUCAAAUCAGGAUGUCUAGAUUUCCUGUUACUACUUAUCGGAAGGCACUUGAUCGAGCCAUAUUUAUUGAGAUGACUCAGCAGCAAGUCUCCCAAGAAAGAGAAGUCAACCGACAGACCUUGCAGAGCUCACACUCUAGACAGCAAAGUCGAGGUCGUCGACCCCGUGGCCAAGAUACGACUAGAGAGUCUUCACGAUCACAAAAGGUUGCCAAAGUAUCGCAGGGAUCUAGUCGCCCAGUCCCAUCACAGCGGGGCCAGAUAUCUGUGAAGUAUUUUCAAUGUGGUGCACCAAAUCACCUAGCAUCAGAAUGUCCACUAGAUAAGAGUAUAUGUUUCUAUUGUAAACUGCCAGGACAUAUGCAGAAAGAUUGCACUUUGAAGGCACAACAUCAAGCAAGAGGAUCACAGUCUCAGCAGGCUCGACCUACCCCACGACCUCCAUAGUCUCGGCAGCAAAAAGGCCCACAGAGAUCUCAGCAGCCUCAGCAACGAAGUCACCCACCUGCACAGUCUGCUCAACGGCCACAACUUUACCAUUUGUAGUCCCAAGUGGAGAAUGAGUAUCAUUCAGUACCUCCACUUCAACAGUAUUUGUCAGCUCCAACUCAGUAGUAUUUGCCAGCUCCAUCUCAGCAGUAUUUGGUAGCUCCACCCCAGCAGUAUCUGCUACCUCCACCCCAGCAAUGUUAGCCACCAUUAUCUUAUCAGCCUUCGACCUAGUCAUACCAGCCUUCGCAGGAUCAGAGUCAACCAUCUUCUUCUAUCCAGAGGGGUCAACCAUCGGGUCUUGAGCCGGGACACGUAUAUGCUUUGACUCGUGAGGAGGCACAGCGAACUGAAGGAUUUGUCAUCCGAGGUAUUAUUUCAGUUUAUAGUAUUCCUGCGGAUAUAUUGAUAGAUACGGGUAGCUCGCAUUCCUUUAUUUCUCCUGAGUUCGUAUGCAAGAUUGGGAGGGUCCCAACUCUUCGACCUUAUGGAUUAUCAGUAUUGACACCAUCAGGUGGAGUAUUGAUGUCAGAUCAGGAGGUCAAGAGUUGUCCUUUAAAUUUCAAUAGUCAUAUCCUUACAAUAGAUUUACAAGUGAUAGAGAUGACUGAAUUCGAUAUUAUUUUGGGUAUGGAUUGGCUGUCAGAGCAUCAUGUCACUGUCGAUUAUGUAGCCAAAGUGGUAACUUUUCAAUCCUUGGAUCAAUCAUCAUGGGAAUUUAUUGGGAUCAAUGAUCGAGGGGUAUCUAUUAUCUUAGCUCUCCAGGCUUAGCAGUUGUUGGCUCGGGGAUGCAAGGGAUAUCUCUUGUCUUUAGUGAGUUCCAAUGUGGAUAGUUCUGUUCGAUUUUCUGAUGUCCACAUAAUUCAUGAAUAUCCUGACGUAUUUCCUAAAGAACUUCCUGGCUUGCCACCUCGGCGACAGGUAGAGUUUGCCAUUGAGUUGCUUCCUAGCACAGCUUCAAUAUCGAAAGCUCCAUAUCGGAUGACACCAAGAGAACUGGAGGAACUAAAGAUCCAGCUUUAGGAGUUACUAGACAAGGGUUUAAUCCAUCCUAGUGUUUCUCCUUGGGGUGCUCCGAUGCUCUUUGUUAAGAAGAAAGAUGGAUCCUUAAGGCUCUGCAUUGAUUAUAGGCAGUUAAACUCUGUAACUAUCAAGAACAAGUAUCCUCUACCUAGAAUAGAUGAUUUGUUUGAUCAGCUUAAAGGUACAUGUGUGUACUCCAGGAUUGAUUUAAGAUCAGGCUAUUACCAGGUACGAGUUAGAUAUACAAAUAUUCAGAAGACUGCAUUCUGUAGUCAGUAUGGACAUUAUGAGUUCUUGGUAAUGCCAUUUGGGCUUACCAAUGCUCCUACAACUUUUAUGGAUCUGAUGAACAUGGUAUUCUUGGAAUAUUUAGACCGAUUUGUUAUUGUCUCUAUUGAUGACAUUCCGGAAUAUUCCCGGUCAGAGGAGGAGCAUGAACAAUAUCUCAAAAUGGUUCUAGAAACUUUACGGAAGGAACGCUUAUAUGCGAAGUUCAGUAAAUGUGCUUUUUGGCUUAGUUCUGUGGGAUUUCUAGGGCAUAUAAUCUCUAGCAAAGGGAUUUUAGUAGACCCCCAGAAGAUUGAAGCAGUUGACCGAUGGGAACAACCAAAGUUAGUACAAAGAUAUUUGCAGCUUCCUUGGAUUAGCCAGGCUAUCGGAGAUUUGUUGAGGGUUUUUCUGGUAUUGUUGCACCUUUGACCCAGUUGACUAGAAAAGGGGUCAAGUUUACUUGGUCCAAGGCUUGUGAAGCAAGCUUCUAAGAGCUCAAGAAGAGAUUGGUGAGUGCUCCAGUGUUAGUUAUUCCCUCUGGAGAUGAUGGAUUCAUUCUUUACACGGAUGUUUCUAUUCAAGGAUUAGGGGCAAUUUUGAUGCAACAUUAUAGAGUAGUAGCUUAUGCUUCUCGUCAGCUGAAAGAUCAUGAGAAGAAUUAUCCCGUACAUGAUUUAGAAUUAGCAACCAUUAUUUUUGCCCUUAAGAUUUGGAGACAUUAUCUCUACGGUAUUACCUUUGAGAUAUUCACCGAUCACAAGAGUCUGAAAUAUCUUUUCACGCAGAAAGAGUUAAACCUUUGACAGAUAAGGUGGAUGGAGUUCCUAAAAGACUAUAACUGCACUAUCAACUACCACCCUGGAAAGGCUAAUAUAGUAGCUGAUGCAUUGAGUAGGAAGUCUAGAGGAGUAUUGGUAAUUCACAGGGUGGCAGUUACUGAUCUAGUCAGACAGUUUUCAGAAUUAGAUUUAAUUGAAAUAGGGCAAACACAGUGUGGUAUAAUGGUCUCCUUGAUCGCACAAUCCCCAUUGGUUGAGCGGAUCAAAGAAAGCCAAAUGGAAGAUCAAUAUCUCAAAUCGAUAGCUAGUGAGUUGGAGUUCGUCCUCAAGUCAGAAUUCUCACGUGAUAUGGAUGGAUCUCUUCGGUUCCGAGGCAGAUUGUGUGUUCCUGAGGUACAUCCUGUUAAGGAGGAUCUCCUUCGAGAGGCCCACUGAUCGAGAUUUACAUCUUGGUAGUACACGGAUGUAUCGAGACUUGAAGCGAUUAUAUUGGUGGAAAGGUAUGAAAAGAGAUAUUGCAGAUUUUGUAGCUCGGUGUCUAGUUUGCUAGCAAAUUAAGGCAGAACACCAGAGACCAUUCGUGUUACUUCAGAAGAUUGCAGUGCCAGAAUAAAAAUGGGAGCAAAUUUUCCUUGCCCCUUCACUAUCCUAGCAACCUUCUUUGUUUUCAACCUUCCCUAACUAUCAUAGUUACCUUUCGUUUUCUCCGACAGCAGCCCUAACUGCUGUCCUUUUCUUGGCAGCAUCGCCGGAGCUCGCCGAAGCUAGCUGAGGCGGCCAACGACAAAGGGAAAACAACCCUAGUUGUUGCCCUCUUUUUCCAGCAACUACAGUAAUCCAUAGAAGACACGAGCUCGAGUGGAGCACGGUGACCUGCCGACACUCGAAGAUUUUGCUGUACAUAAAUUUUGCAGACACAGAGAUCCUUUUGAUAUUGUAGUUGAUUUUGGACUUCCAUAGAGUUGCUCAGAGAUCUCGACGUGUUGAUUUUCUGGUUUGUUUUACUUUUUUUUUCGUUGUAUUUACAUUUUGUAAUUUUAUUUCAGAUGUCAUUUAUCUGUAUAGUAAUUAUAGUCUACGAAAACUAUGAUAUAUAUAUAUAUAUAUAUAUAUAUAUAUAUA
Molecule: long non-coding RNA, 5033 nt
Organism: Zingiber officinale
Lineage: Eukaryota; Viridiplantae; Streptophyta; Magnoliopsida; Zingiberales; Zingiberaceae
Exons: 7
Source: RefSeq, a predicted model, not a curated record